ACUCCUACGGGAGGCAGCAGUGGGGAAUAUUGCACAAUGGGGGGAAACCCUGAUGCAGCCAUGCCGCGUGUGUGAAGAAGGCCUUGGGUUGUAAAGCACUUUCAGUAGGGAGGAAGGUAGUGUAGUUAACACCUGCAUUAUUUGUACGUUACCUACAGAAGAAGCACCGGCUAACUCCGUGCCAGCAGCCGCGGUAAGUACGGAGGGUGCGAGCGUUAAUACGGUAAUUACGUGGGCGUAAAGCGCAUGCAGGCGGCCUGUUAAGUCAGAUGUGAAAGCCCGGGGUCGUUAACCUCGGAAUUGCAUUUGAAACUGGCAGGCUAGAGUCGUUGUAGGAGGGGGUUAGAAUUUCGAGGUGUAGCGGUAGAAAUGCGUAGAGAUCGUGAAGGAA
Molecule: ribosomal RNA, 391 nt
Filed under: uncultured bacterium
Lineage: Bacteria
Description: bacterial SSU rRNA
Rfam family: Bacterial small subunit ribosomal RNA
Source: RNAcentral